UACGUAGGGUGCAGGCGUUGUCCGGAAUUAUUGGGCGUAAAGAGCUCGUAGGCGGUCUGUCGCGUCGGCUGUGAAAUCCCGAGGCUCAACCUCGGGUCUGCAGUCGAUACGGGCAAACUAGAGUAUUGCAGGGGAGACUGGAAUUCCUGGUGUAGCGGUGAAAUGCGCAGAUAUCAGGAGGAACACCGGUGGCGAAGGCGGGUCUCUGGGCAAUAACUGACGCUGAGGAGCGAAAGCGUGGGGAGCGAACAGG
This 253-nucleotide ribosomal RNA is filed under the name uncultured bacterium. RNAcentral describes it as "partial 16S ribosomal RNA". It matches the Rfam family "Bacterial small subunit ribosomal RNA", at positions 524 to 776 of the family's 1533-position model. The record is from RNAcentral.